RNAcentral lists this ribosomal RNA (710 nucleotides) under uncultured bacterium. RNAcentral describes it as "bacterial SSU rRNA". It matches the Rfam family "Bacterial small subunit ribosomal RNA", at positions 141 to 844 of the family's 1533-position model. The record is from RNAcentral.
GGAUAACCGGGAGAAAUCCCGCCUAAUACAGCAUGACGCCGGGAAGGGACAUCCCUUUCCGGCCAAAGGGGGCGACUCCGGUCACGGAUGGGCAUGCGGCGCAUUAGGUAGUUGGUGGGGCAACGGCCCACCAAGCCGACGAUGCGUAGGGGUUCUGAGAGGAAGGUCCCCCACAUUGGAACUGAGACACGGUCCAAACUCCUACGGGAGGCAGCAGUGAGGAAUAUUGGUCAAUGGCCGGAAGGCUGAACCAGCCAAGUCGCGUGAGGGAAUAAGGCCCUACGGGUCGUAAACCUCUUUUGUCAGGGAGCAAGGCCGCCCACGUGUGGACGGAAGGAGAGUACCUGGAGAAAAAGCAUCGGCUAACUCCGUGCCAGCAGCCGCGGUAAUACGGAGGAUGCGAGCGUUAUCCGGAUUUAUUGGGUUUAAAGGGUGCGUAGGCGGCCUGCCAAGUCAGCGGUAAUAUUGCGGGGCUCAACCCCGUACAGCCGUUGAAACUGCCGGGCUCGAGUGGGCGAGAAGUAUGCGGAAUGCGUGGUGUAGCGGUGGAAUGCAUAGAUAUCACGCAGAACCCCGAUUGCGAAGGCAGCAUACCGGCGCCCUACUGACGCUGAGGCACGAAAGUGCGGGGAUCAAACAGGAUUAGAUACCCUGGUAGUCCGCACAGUAAACGAUGAAUGCUAGCUGUCCGGGGGGAUUGACCCCUGGGU